Pezoporus occidentalis (night parrot) is the source of this 1297-nucleotide long non-coding RNA. RefSeq lists it as uncharacterized. The transcript has 4 exons. The record is from RefSeq and is a predicted model, not a curated record. Lineage: Eukaryota; Metazoa; Chordata; Aves; Psittaciformes; Psittacidae.
UUGCAGUGCAUCAGGCAUUUGUGGAAGCUGCAGAGGUUUGUUCUGGAGUCUGAAAUGGAUCUUAUGUGACUGUUGUUAACAAGAUGUUUAUCUUUGCUCCGAUAUAAACACACCUGCUCUAAUACAUAAAUAAAUUUGCUUCCACCCGGCUACUACACCCAGCCAACAGCUCCAGUACGUUAUGGAGAAGAAACUGGUAGGUCGCUAAGCCGUGCUAGGGAGCGGCAGAAAUGGGGCAGAGCUCCCGGAAAGCCGGGAAGAGUCAGAAGAGGAGCCCUCGGCGGUGCCGGGGAGCUGAGCCAGCUCUUCCAGCCCAUUUCCUUCAGUGAUAUCUGGAGAGGAUCUGAUAAGCUUUACACUGCGUUUCACAGGUCAGAGGGCAUUGUCUUCCCCUUCAUUCCAGCUGCCAACAACAAAGUCAGACAUAUGUUAUCACCAUCACACAGGAAGCUCUGAGCUUCCUCAUGGUCAACAAAGUACAAAUACAGGAAGAGUGUCUGCUAUUUUUGACUGUGUGCGUUGAACUUGCGUGGCAAGCCUGGCAACUGAGCAAAGAAAUACAUGCAGCCAGGAGUAACUGGCCACUCUCCUUACUUUCCUUCCCAGUUCUAAUGAGGACUGUGACCUGCAGGCUGGACUGGAUAGGGAUUGGUGGUUUUCUGUCUGUUGCUCCUGUAACUUGUGCUCUUGCUUCUUCAGUGCCCACUCGGUCUUCAGAUCAGUUCAUGAUGCUGGUCCUGCUUAGAACAAGACACUGCUGAAAAAGUAUUCUCAAGAGAUUGGGCAGAAAGCUUGCUUAUAAAUUUUUGGAAUGAGUUUCUUAAUUCUUACCUUGAUAUUUUGAAUAAAUCAUCUACAGUUAUGAGACUUCUGAGACAUCAAAGUAUAGCAUCACAGACCAUAGUAGCAUGAGAUACUCAGGAUGAUAAAAGUAAUAGGUUGUACUCUACUGGGUAGGGUUCAUUUGUUUUUAGGCUCGUGGUGGAAUUUUGUGAUGUCACUGUUACUAUUCCAUGGUACUAGUGAUUUUUUUUUUUCCUGAUUAUUCAAAACAUUAAAAAGUUAUAAUGUAAGAUCUGACAUCAAAACUUCACAUGAUAAGCAAAACUUCCUAAUGCUGCACCUAUUCAGAUAAGUAAUUCUAUUGUAUUUAGUGGGAUUGGUCAUGUUAUUUACAACUUGAUGUGCAUUUAAAUGAUUUUCUGAAGACUAGCCAAUGUAUUCUGUAAUCUCAUCUAAUGCACCUUUAUUAUAAUGCUGUUGCAGGUGAGUAUGUAUAGAUAGAGCAUAGGGAGUU